AUGCACCAGCCAAGAUGUUGUCGAAAUCAAGCAGUCGAGCAGAUCAAUAGGCCAAAUAAAGAAGGCAUGUAUUUUAAAUUUUCUGUUAUUUCCGUCUGUCAUGCAUCUCUCUUGGCCUCGCUAGCUAGCAUUUCCUUUGUUUUCCUGAUCUGUGGCUCAGUGCCAGUGGAGUCACAUCUAUUGUUCCAUGCCAUAACUAAUGGCGUAAAGUUGCAUACUGUCAGCACCACGAUCUCUAGGGUAGAUCAGUGCCACGAAAUAUCUAUCUGUCAGAAUUCAAGAAGGAAAUUGGUUAUCAUAGACUAA
RNAcentral lists this ribosomal RNA (306 nucleotides) under Triticum aestivum (bread wheat). RNAcentral describes it as "partial small subunit ribosomal RNA". Lineage: Eukaryota; Viridiplantae; Streptophyta; Magnoliopsida; Poales; Poaceae. The record is from RNAcentral.